RNAcentral lists this ribosomal RNA (320 nucleotides) under uncultured eukaryote. Its description in RNAcentral is "partial 18S ribosomal RNA". It matches the Rfam family "Eukaryotic small subunit ribosomal RNA", at positions 1470 to 1796 of the family's 1831-position model. The record is from RNAcentral.
CCCUUAGACACUCUAGGCGGCACGCGCGCUACAAUGGGCGGAAGAACGUGUUACUGCCUCCGAAAGGAGGGGUGAAUCACGAAUUCUUGCCCGUGAAUGGGAUAGUUUGUUGCAAUUUUCGGACUUGAACUAGGAAUCCCUUGUAAACAUGCUCAAGAAUAGCGUGUUGAAUACGUCCCUGCCGUUUGUACACACCGCCCGUCGCUCCUACCGAUCGAAGAGUUAGGUGAAUUGUUUUGAUCGAUAAGAUUUGACUAUGGUCAACUCUCGUUGUGAAAUUCUGUGAAUCUGACUGUUUAGAGGAAGGAAAAGUCGUAACA